UACGAAGGGGGCUAGCGUUGUUCGGAAUCACUGGGCGUAAAGCGCAUGUAGGCGGCUAUUCAAGUCGGGGGUGAAAUCCUGAGGCUCAACCUCAGAACUGCCUUCGAUACUGUUUAGCUCGAGUGUGGAAGAGGUUGGUGGAACUGCGAGUGUAGAGGUGAAAUUCGUAGAUAUUCGCAAGAACACCAGUGGCGAAGGCGGCCAACUGGUCCAUUACUGACGCUGAGAUGCGAAAGCGUGGGGAGCAAACAGG
Molecule: ribosomal RNA, 253 nt
Filed under: uncultured bacterium
Lineage: Bacteria
Description: partial 16S ribosomal RNA
Rfam family: Bacterial small subunit ribosomal RNA
Source: RNAcentral